UAUGCCAUCAAGCCUGGCUUGGUGUUGGGCGGUUGUCGUGCCAUGUGUGUCGACUCGCCUCAAAUUCAUCGGCGGCCCGUCGUAGGCUUGCAGCACAGCAGACUGGUAGCUGUUUGGCCAUGCCACGCGCCCGCCGCAAUGCGUCUUUCUAU
RNAcentral lists this unclassified non-coding RNA (152 nucleotides) under uncultured Ascomycota. RNAcentral's name for it is "sequence contains ITS2". The record is from RNAcentral. Lineage: Eukaryota; Fungi; Ascomycota.